RNAcentral lists this ribosomal RNA (444 nucleotides) under uncultured bacterium. RNAcentral's name for it is "partial 16S ribosomal RNA". It matches the Rfam family "Bacterial small subunit ribosomal RNA", at positions 338 to 795 of the family's 1533-position model. The record is from RNAcentral.
CCUACGGGUGGCAGCAGUGGGGAAUAUUGGGCAAUGGGCGCAAGCCUGACCCAGCAACGCCGCGUGAAGGAAGAAGGCCCUCGGGUUGUAACCUUCUUUUAUCAAGGACGAAACAAAUGACGGUACUUGCUGAAUAAGCCACGGGUAACUACGUGCCAGCAGCCGCGGUAAUACGUAAGGGGCAAGCGUUAUCCGGGUUUACUGGGUGUAACGGGCGUUGAGGCGGGACGGCAAGUCAUAUGUGAAAACCAUGGGCUCAACCCAUGGCCUGCAUUUGAAACUGUAGUUCUGGAUGGUUGAAGAGGCAGGCGGAAUUCCGUGUGUAGCGGUGAAAUGCGUAGAUAUACGGAGGAACACCAGUGGCGAAGGCGGCCUGCUGGACAAUAACUGACGCUGAGGCGCGAAAGCGUGGGGAGCAAACAGGAUUAGAUACCCCGAGUAGUC